RNAcentral lists this ribosomal RNA (253 nucleotides) under uncultured bacterium. RNAcentral describes it as "partial 16S ribosomal RNA". It matches the Rfam family "Bacterial small subunit ribosomal RNA", at positions 524 to 776 of the family's 1533-position model. The record is from RNAcentral.
UACAGGGGGUGCAAACGUUGCUCGGAAUCAUUGGGCGUAAAGCGCACGUAGGCGGUUCGUUAUGUCGGAUGUGAAAGCCCUUGGCUUAACCGAGGAAGUGCAUCCGAAACUGGCGAGCUAGAGUACGAAAGAGGAUCGCGGAAUUCCCGGUGUAGAGGUGAAAUUCGUAGAUAUCGGGAGGAAUACCAGUGGCGAAGGCGGCGACCUGGGCCAAUACUGACGCUGAGGUGCGAAAGCGUGGGGAGCAAACAGG